Molecule: ribosomal RNA, 73 nt
Filed under: Clostridioides difficile
Lineage: Bacteria; Bacillati; Bacillota; Clostridia; Peptostreptococcales; Peptostreptococcaceae
Description: partial 23S ribosomal RNA
Rfam family: Bacterial large subunit ribosomal RNA
Source: RNAcentral
UGGUCAAGUUAUUAAGGGUGCAGGGCGGAUGCCUUGGCACUAGGAGCCGAUGAAGGACGUGAUAAGCUGCGAU